UCACGUAUGCGAACCUCCUUCUAACGUUCACCUACAAGAGCCGGCUCUAGUUGGUUGCGAGAUACAGAAUAAUUAGUAUAACAUACAGAAGAAGAAGAUAGAAUAUUUCCACAGCUCCACGAGCUUUUUUCGCGAAUGGCGAAAGCAUGAUAUUUGUAUGUCAAUUAAACAUGAAAAGAAAGGGAGAGAUAUCAGACUUAUUUUUAAAGAAGCACAAACAGGCAGAUCAGGUGCAAACAGACCCCAGCCUUUGCAUCACUAUUGGACCCCAGAGCAGCUCCCUAGCUGAGUGUGGUCAGACUUCACAAGGACCAGUCUACCACCACCACCACCAUCUACCAGACAGGAUGCCACAGAGACCUCUGGCUCUGAGCAAGACAGUGAGCCAGAGCUGUCAGGAGAUGUCAUCGAGCCCCUUGCAACUGCAUCAAGCACCAGAUAUGCUGUUCCAAAAGGACCCAAUGACAUUUCAAGAUCCAGAGAAGAGGGUCCUGUACAGUCGUGUUUGA
RNAcentral lists this long non-coding RNA (509 nucleotides) under Oncorhynchus kisutch (coho salmon). RNAcentral's name for it is "lncRNA (ENSOKIG00005002479.1)". The record is from RNAcentral. Lineage: Eukaryota; Metazoa; Chordata; Actinopteri; Salmoniformes; Salmonidae.